RNAcentral lists this long non-coding RNA (355 nucleotides) under Gossypium raimondii (Peruvian cotton). Its description in RNAcentral is "long non-coding RNA (GRAI_LNC004568)". Lineage: Eukaryota; Viridiplantae; Streptophyta; Magnoliopsida; Malvales; Malvaceae. The record is from RNAcentral.
CGGUUGUUGAAAGCACUAAAAAUAUCCUAUCCCUAAUAAAUAAUGAAAAAGAAUAGUAAAAGGGAAGUAGGGUCAAAUCCUCAGGGACUGGAUUUGCACAAUAUCUUGUUCCGUGGAAUCCCAGGCAGAGUCUUGCCCAAGACAACCUGCGUUCCUGAAAAAAAUAAAAAAAAUAACAGAAUUAAAGGGUUGGAUCUGGAAACGAAAAAUAAAAUAAAAACAGAAUUAAGAAUAUUGAAUCGAAAAUUUGAGAAAUUAAAAAUAGAGUUGAGAGAAAAGAAAUUCUUAUGGGAGAUUCCAGCCUCCAGUUGUCUCGUUCCGCAUUAGGUUCAAUCCUCGGCUUUAAGCCAGUUAU